Molecule: long non-coding RNA, 1469 nt
Filed under: Bos indicus x Bos taurus (hybrid cattle)
Lineage: Eukaryota; Metazoa; Chordata; Mammalia; Artiodactyla; Bovidae
Description: lncRNA (ENSBIXG00000028909.1)
Source: RNAcentral
UAUAGUGUCUGGUGAGCACCAGCUUCCUGGUUCCCACAUCCACCUGGAGGAAGAGGUACCUAGAAAGGUGCUUUCUAGGGUCUCUUGUAUAAGAGCACUAACCCCAUUCCUGGAGGCUCUGUUCUUAUGACCUAAUCACCCCAAAGCCCCACUUCCAAAUAUUAUUACACUGGGUAUAAGGUUUGAACACAUAAAUUUGGGGGGGCACAGUCUAUAUCAACUAUUUUAUUAUAUGCUCUGCCUCGUAUUUUCUUGUGAAAGAAAGCCUAAGUAGGGCAGGUUAGCUGGCAGGAGAAAAAUGUUAACCUUUUCAUUUUUUAUGUUUUCUCUGAAGGCCCACUGGCUCUCACCAUUUAUGGAAUUGCCUUGGCUACUCAAGGGACCAGAUGUUCCCUGGGGUUGUGACCCACUGCUCCUGCAUUUAGCCUCCUGGCUGGCUGCUUGCUUGCUUGGACUCAGCCCAGUACAGAUGGCAUUACUGCUAAAUCAGAGAGAAUGACACUCGGUUUCCUGGUCCUCCUUCAAGUUGCUACUUUGUUGGCAGUCAGAGACCUCUAACUCCUUACGGAAGGUGUGGUAUUGAGGAGAAAAGAAGUAACACCAGUGUGAGUUAAGAGGGCGAGAGUGACAAGCCCAGAGGACAAUGAGAUGACCAGAUCAACUCCUAUGGAGAAAAAGUGAAGCUUCCCUGAAAGUCUGGAGGAGAUUUGCUCGGUAAAGGCUAGUAAGGGAGAUGCUGCCAUGGAGUGAGGAGGACCCCAGGGACGGCAGAAUGAGACAUGAAGGCAUUCCUGGGAAGCCCCCAGCUAACAGGUUCAUAUGUGCGGAUCACUGGAUAAUGGGAUCCACAACCACAGAAGCACAGUGUCAACACAGUCUGCUACUGCCUAGCGCCCAGUGGUCUCCUUGGAAACCAACGAGGCUGCAGGGAAUCUGGGUGGCAGGAGCUGGGCUGCCAAAGGGAUUUGCAACAGAAUUGGCCUCUGGGGGAAAGUUUUCAAUUAGUUCAUUAUUCCAACCUUUUACAAAGCAGAAUCCGAAAAUUCACAGGCCGAAUUGUAUCAGCUCAUCUGUGUACUGAGGAAGCGUAUAAUGCGGUGGAAGUUCUCACACAGACUUUUGAAUUGAACUAAGCUACACAAAAAUUCAAACUUUGGAGUGCAGACAAAGCAACCAACUGUGCAAGACUACCCACAGCUGAGGGAUGCGGGGAUUUCAACGCUAAACUGGACUAUCCUCAGAAAAUGAUGACAGGCAGUUACCCUAGGAGUAGAAUGUAGUAUCCUGAAACAAAACGGAUGCUUUGUUUUGUAAAUUUACAAAUUUGGCAAAAUAUACUUCUCAAAAACAAAAUAGGCAUGAACAUCAGAGUAAAAUAACAAGACACAAUUAUACAUAAAUCUUCAAUGGUCUAAUCAGAAAUCCAUUUCUGAUAUAAUAACAAUAAAAUUUUGAUAAAUUUCCUUUCA